This 459-nucleotide ribosomal RNA is filed under the name uncultured bacterium. RNAcentral describes it as "bacterial SSU rRNA". It matches the Rfam family "Bacterial small subunit ribosomal RNA", at positions 923 to 1379 of the family's 1533-position model. The record is from RNAcentral.
GCACAAGCGGUGGAGCAUGUGGUUUAAUUCGACGCAACGCGCAGAACCUUACCAGCCCUUGACAUCCCGGUCGCGGAUUCCAGAGACGGAAUCCUUCAGUUCGGCUGGACCGGAGACAGGUGCUGCAUGGCUGUCGUCAGCUCGUGUCGUGAGAUGUUGGGUUAAGUCCCGCAACGAGCGCAACCCCCGUCCUUAGUUGCUACCAUUUAGUUGAGCACUCUAAGGAGACUGCCGGUGAUAAGCCGCGAGGAAGGUGGGGAUGACGUCAAGUCCUCAUGGCCCUUACGGGCUGGGCUACACACGUGCUACAAUGGCGGUGACAAUGGGACGCUAAGGGGCAACCCUUCGCAAAUCUCAAAAAGCCGUCUCAGUUCGGAUUGGGCUCUGCAACUCGAGCCCAUGAAGUUGGAAUCGCUAGUAAUCGUGGAUCAGCACGCCACGGUGAAUACGUUCCCGGGC